Molecule: ribosomal RNA, 372 nt
Filed under: uncultured bacterium
Lineage: Bacteria
Description: bacterial SSU rRNA
Rfam family: Bacterial small subunit ribosomal RNA
Source: RNAcentral
ACGAGGGGAGCUAGCGUUGUUCGGAAUUACUGGGCGUAAAGCGUGCGUAGGCGGUUACUCAAGUCAGAGGUGAAAGCCCGGGGCUCAACCCCGGAACGGCCUUUGAAACUAGGUAACUAGAAUCUUGGAGAGGUUAGUGGAAUUCCGAGUGUAGAGGUGAAAUUCGUAGAUAUUCGGAAGAACACCAGUGGCGAAGGCGACUAACUGGACAAGCAUUGACGCUGAGGCACGAAAGCGUGGGGAGCAAACAGGAUUAGAUACCCUGGUAGUCCACGCCGUAAACGAUGAUAACUAGCUGUCCGGGCACUUGGUGCUUGGGUGGCGCAGCUAACGCAUUAAGUUAUCCGCCUGGGGAGUACGGUCGCAAGAUUA